RNAcentral lists this ribosomal RNA (474 nucleotides) under uncultured Porphyromonadaceae bacterium. RNAcentral describes it as "bacterial SSU rRNA". It matches the Rfam family "Bacterial small subunit ribosomal RNA", at positions 355 to 831 of the family's 1533-position model. Lineage: Bacteria; Pseudomonadati; Bacteroidota; Bacteroidia; Bacteroidales; Porphyromonadaceae. The record is from RNAcentral.
UGAGGAAUAUUGGUCAAUGGACGGAAGUCUGAACCAGCCAUGCCGCGUGAAGGAAUAAGGCCCUAUGGGUCGUAAACUUCUUUUGUGGUGGAGCAAUAAGACCUACGUGUAGGUCGAUGAGAGUACAUCACGAAUAAGCAUCGGCUAACUCCGUGCCAGCAGCCGCGGUAAUACGGAGGAUGCGAGCGUUAUCCGGAUUUAUUGGGUUUAAAGGGUGCGCAGGCGGACUCGUCAAGUCAGCGGUAAAAAUUCGGGGCUCAACCCCGUCCUGCCGUUGAAACUGCGAGACUGGAGUGCGACAGAGGAAGGCGGAAUGCGAGGUGUAGCGGUGAAAUGCAUAGAUAUCGCGCAGAACUCCGAUUGCGAAGGCAGCCUUCCAUGUCGUAACUGACGCUGAGGCACGAAAGCGUGGGGAUCGAACAGGAUUAGAUACCCUGGUAGUCCCUGAACUGCCAAGGCACGACAGGGGGGAUA